CAUCAUACUCCUCCUCAGCGGCAGCCGCACCGAGGGGACGGGUUACAUGGAAUAAGCGCCGCCUACUCGCCAGAGGGAGCGACAGCGGCAGUGAGCGGAGGCCGCCUCUGUCGACCCACAGUGGCACCUGAGUCACUUGAAGCCAAGAGUCAUUCCACUCUUUCCUGCCUGAGACUUCAGUCAUUCAAAAUAAUUCAGCCUGAAGAAGGGUCCUGACUUGAAACGUCACCUAUCCAUGUUCUCCAGAGAUGCUGCCUUACCUGAAAAGGCUACACAAUUUUGUGUCUUUUUUUGUAAACCAGCAUCUGCAGUUCAUUGUAUCCACAUUCAAAAUUACUUGCAAAAUGACAGUUACUCCUUGAUAUCACAAUCAUCAAAUGUCAUAUCCAAGGUAGUAUCACAUUGCUGCAUCCUGAUUUACAUUGCUUUAUUGUUUGUAAUCAUGCUGUUAUUCUAAUCAAAAGCUCAUUCGUGUCAGGUUCAUAAUUUUAAUGUAAAAGCUCAAAAAUAAAGGUCAUAUAUCUCAAACCAGC
Long non-coding RNA from Amblyraja radiata (thorny skate), 533 nucleotides. RefSeq lists it as uncharacterized. The record is from RefSeq and is a predicted model, not a curated record. Lineage: Eukaryota; Metazoa; Chordata; Chondrichthyes; Rajiformes; Rajidae. The transcript has 2 exons.